GGUCAUUUAGAGGAAGUAAAAGUCGUAACAAGGUUUCCGUAGGUGAACCUGCGGAAGGAUCAUUACUGAGUAACGUUGGGGAGGUUGUGCUGGCCGCCUGAAUGGAGGCAUGUGCACGCCUCCUCUCCUACCCACUAUACAUACACCUGUGCACCUACAGGGCGAGGGCCCCCCUUCAGGAGCCGUCGCCGGGUCCGCCCGGCGGCUGGAGCCUUCGUCCUUGUUUUAAAUCAUCUACUCCAGUUUAUGCAUGUAAACAUCAUUUUAUAAAUGAAAUACAACUUUCAACAACGGAUCUCUUGGCUCUCGCAUCGAUGAAGAACGCAGCGAAAUGCGAUAAGUAAUGUGAAUUGCAGAAUUCAGUGAAUCAUCGAAUCUUUGAACGCACCUUGCGCUCCUUGGCAUUCCGAGGAGCAUGCCUGUUUGAGUGUCACGUAACACCUCGAUCCCCCUCGNCGUCACCAGACGUCGGUUGGGCUCGGAUGUGGGCGUCUGCCACGAGCUUCUUGCUCGAGGCUCGCCUUUAAAUGCAUGAGCCGGUCCACAGCGAAGGCGCCACCGCGGUCGAAUUAAGUUCUUUGCUCUUUUCACCGUCGAGCCGUUAGCCAUGGACUGCUUCCAAUCGUCUUCGGACAAUAACGAGGGGCCUUUGGGUCCCUUGUAGAUUGGCCUCAAAUCAGGUAGGACUACCCGCUGAACUUAAGCAUAUCAAUAAGCGGA
This 720-nucleotide ribosomal RNA is filed under the name Clavulicium vinososcabens. Its description in RNAcentral is "eukaryotic LSU rRNA". The stretch from base 280 to 433 matches the Rfam family "5.8S ribosomal RNA". The record is from RNAcentral. Lineage: Eukaryota; Fungi; Basidiomycota; Agaricomycetes; Stereopsidales.